Trachemys scripta elegans is the source of this 991-nucleotide long non-coding RNA. RefSeq lists it as uncharacterized. The transcript is spliced from 2 exons. NCBI's taxonomy places the organism in Eukaryota, Metazoa, Chordata, Testudines, Emydidae. The record is from RefSeq and is a predicted model, not a curated record.
CCUGGGCCUGUGGGGAGAAGAGGACAUCUACGAGCAGAUUGCAUGGGAUGCAGGAGAAGGCAUAUGAGAGAGAGCAGCAGCAGUGCUACAUGAAAGCAAAGGAACUGCGGCAGGCAUAUCAGAAGGCCAGGGAGGCCAACAGUUGGUCCAGUCUGAGCUGCAGACCUGCAGCUUUUACAAAGAGCUGCAUGCCUACUUGGCAGAGACCCCACCGCCACUCUGCACAACCACCAUGGAUCUCUCCGAGAAGCCCAAGUCACAGGCCCCUAGUUUGAACAGCGAAGAAGAGGAGGAGGAUGGGGGACAUGUGACUGAUGGGUCCGGCUGCACUGCGAGCCAGGACCUGUUUGAGACUCCACUGCAAUCCAGUCAGUCCUGGCAGUAGAGCAUGGACAAGCCCAGAGCAGGGGAAGGAACCUCAGUUGCUGCUGUUGUGGCUGUGAGAGAUUGCUCUUCCAUACCUGCCAAAUGCUGAGCCAGAUAAAGAGGAGAAAGAAGAGAACUCAGGAUGACAUGUUCAGCGAGAUCAUGUAAGCCAGUGCUGCAACAGACCGGGAGCAAAGGCCCUGGAGGGUGAAUAUUGCAGACUGUAUGGAGGAGGACAGAGCAGACAGAAAAAAGGUGGAGAAAAAGGAGAGGAAAAUGCACCAGGACACAAUGGAGCAUCUCCGGCAGCACACACAGAUGUUGCAGACUCUCAUGGACCUAAAGGUUCAAUAGUCAUGGGCUCGCUUCCCUAUGCAGUCCAGGGAUAACUCCAUUACAGCACUUCUCUAUAUUCCCCUCAACAUUCCACGUGGCAUCAGGGACCCACAUCUCUACUCUGACCACUCCAUGUCAGGGGACAUUAAAAACAGCUACACUUUCACAUGCACUGACCUGUGAAAGACAUGGUUGCUGUAUGUGUAGCUAAAAUGGAUGUGAAUGUUCCUUCCCCUUGUAAAGUUCUGUUCCAUAAAUUUAGUCAGUUUUUAAUGUUUUUGCUUUUAAA